GAUGAAGAACGUAGCGAAAUGCGAUAAGUAAUGUGAAUUGCAGAAUUCAGUGAAUCAUCGAAUCUUUGAACGCACAUUGCGCCCGCCAGUAUUCUGGCGGGCAUGCCUGUCUGAGCGUCAUUUCAACCCUCAUGCCCCUAGGGCGUGGUGUUGGGGAUCGGCCAAAGCCCGCGAGGGACGGCCGGCCCCUAAAUCUAGUGGCGGACCCGUCGUGGCCUCCUCUGCGAAGUAGUGAUAUUCCGCAUCGGAGAGCGAUGAGCCCCUGCCGUUAAACCCACAACUUUCCAAGGUUGACCUCAGAUCAGGUAGGAAUACCCGCUGAACUUAAGCAUAUCAAUAAGCGGAGGA
This 348-nucleotide unclassified non-coding RNA is filed under the name soil metagenome. RNAcentral's name for it is "partial contains 5.8S ribosomal RNA, internal transcribed spacer 2, and large subunit ribosomal RNA". The stretch from base 1 to 120 matches the Rfam family "5.8S ribosomal RNA", at positions 35 to 154 of the family's 154-position model. The record is from RNAcentral.